This is a long non-coding RNA of Daphnia pulicaria, 494 nucleotides long. RefSeq lists it as uncharacterized. Lineage: Eukaryota; Metazoa; Arthropoda; Branchiopoda; Diplostraca; Daphniidae. The transcript has 3 exons. The record is from RefSeq and is a predicted model, not a curated record.
AUGUCAAGAGGCUUGCCUACCCAUUAUCUUUCUUUGAAUAUCAUGGACCUUCACAGAAAGAAGGAAAUUCACUAUACAUCUGCACAGUUAAGGGAUGCAAAAGAGAUAAACCAUUUUCCACCGUAAAAAAUUCCAGGGGAAAUCUUCGUUCUCAUGUUAAAUCGUGUCAUAAGGAGAAGCUAGAGGAAUUCAAUGCAGCUUGCAGGGAUCUUGAUUCAAAGAAGGCAAUGGCUACAGGUUUACCUAUCUCAACCAAUAACAGUGCCAAGGACGAUCAGAAUCAGUUGGAGGGAAACAACGAAACGCAACAGAAAUCCUUUACUCAACAAAAGAUUCAUUUUUCGGGUUACAGGAAACCAUUGACACAGAAGGAAUUGGACGCCUGCGUUACGAAAUAUCUUUGCGAUGGUGUUUUGCCCGUCUACCACACUGAGACAGAAGCUUUUCGAAUGUUUGUGAAAACGUUGGCCCCCCGAUGUAAAAGGAGAGGUCGG